GUCGAACGCGCAGCAUUCUGUAGCAAUACAGGGUGUGGGCGCGUGGCGAACGGGUGCGUAACACGUGGAUAACCUUCCUUGAGGUGGGGAAUAACCCAGUGAAAAUUGGGCUAAUACCGCAUAACACAGCGAUGGCACAUGCUGAUGCUGUCAAAGGCGCAAGUCGCCACAAGAGGGAUCCGCGGCCGAUUAGCUUGUUGGCGAGGUAAUGGCUCACCAAGGCAAUGAUCGGUAGCCGGACUGAGAGGUUGGCCGGCCACACUGGAACUGAGACACGGUCCAGACUCCUACGGGAGGCAGCAGUGGGGAAUCUUGCACAAUGGACGAAAGUCUGAUGCAGCAACGCCGCGUGGGGGAUGAAGCUUCUCGGAGUGUAAACCCCUUUCGACCCGGAAGAAUGCCCGCAAGGGUAUGACGGUACGGGUAUAAGAAGCCCCGGCUAACUACGUGCCAGCAGCCGCGGUAAUACGUAGGGGGCCAGCGUUGCUCGGAAUUACUGGGCGUAAAGGGUCCGUAGGCGGUGUAGCAAGUCGAUAGUGAAAUCUCUGCGCUUAACGCAGAGGCUGCUAACGAAACUGCUGUGCUAGAGUGUGAGAGAGGCGAGUGGAAUUACGGGUGUAGCGGUGAAAUGCGUAGAUAUCCGUAGGAACAUCCGAGGCGAAGGCGGCUCGCUGGAUCACAACUGACGCUGAGGGACGAAAGCUA
Molecule: ribosomal RNA, 705 nt
Filed under: uncultured bacterium
Lineage: Bacteria
Description: bacterial SSU rRNA
Rfam family: Bacterial small subunit ribosomal RNA
Source: RNAcentral